UUAAAACGCCCGUAGUUGGAUCAGCGGAUUUGGAGAACGGUCUGCCGAUGGGCUGUACUGUUCUCCUGUCCUAUUUUCUCUAGUUCGCUCUAGGUGCUCUUCACUGAGUGUCUAGAGUGGCUGGAACUUUUACUUUGAAAAAAUUAGAGUGCUCAAAGCAGGCGUCUCAGCCUGAAUAGUGGUGCAUGGAAUAAUGGAAUAGGACCUCAGUUCUAUUUUGUUGGUUUCGGAACAUGAGGUAAUGAUUAAGAGGGACAGACGGGGGCAUUCGUAUUGCGACGUUAGAGGUGAAAUUCUUGGAUCGUCGCAAGACGAACUACUGCGAAAGCAUUUGCCAAGAAUGUUUUCAUUAAUCAAGGACGAUAGUUAGAGGUUCGAAGGCGAUCAGAUACCGCCCUAGUUCUAACCGUAAACGAUGUCAACCAGCGAUCCGCAGGAGUUAUUCAUGACUCUGCGGGCAGCUCCCGGGAAACCAAAGUUUUUGGAUUCCGGGGGGAGUAUGGUUGCAAAGCUGAAACUUAAAGGAAUUGACGGAAGGGCACCACCAGGAGUGGACUGCGGCUUAAUUUGACUCAACACGGGGAAACUCACCCGGCCCGGACACCGUAAGGAUUGACAGAUUGAGAGCUCUUUCUUGAUUCGGUGGGUGGUGGUGCAUGGCCGUUCUUAGUUGGUGGAGCGAUUUGUCUGGUUAAUUCCGAUAACGAACGAGACUCUAGCCUACUAAAUAGAAGGCAAAUUAUUCGUUUGCUGUACUUCUUAGAGGG
Molecule: ribosomal RNA, 767 nt
Filed under: uncultured Rhabdolaimus
Lineage: Eukaryota; Metazoa; Nematoda; Enoplea; Enoplida; Rhabdolaimidae
Description: SSU rRNA
Rfam family: Eukaryotic small subunit ribosomal RNA
Source: RNAcentral